Molecule: long non-coding RNA, 646 nt
Filed under: Sinocyclocheilus grahami
Lineage: Eukaryota; Metazoa; Chordata; Actinopteri; Cypriniformes; Cyprinidae
Description: lncRNA (ENSSGRG00000015459.1)
Source: RNAcentral
UGGUGCUGAGGCAAAUACGCACGAGCGCAUCACAGCCUUACGGCAACACCCCGCUCGUGCAUGCGCCCGCAACGCUGCGCACUACGUUUAUUACCGAUUUUACAAGACACAACAACGACUUGGUGCGAGGGCUCAUUUCUCGAUUUUAUUAAUUUUUUUUAAAUAACUCCCCUCGUUGGCUCGAGCACUUGUGCACCGGGCGAUUGAAAGAUGUACGGAGCGCGCUGAUGGCUGAGCGUGAAUAACGAUCUGGAGACAUCCAUGACAUUGGACUCUGAAAAGGUCUGCGGAUAACAAUGAGCACCGCAUUUCACCAGCAGGCUGUUCACAGUUCCCUGGAACAGCAGAAGGGACAGCGGCAGAGCGGCCCCAUCCCGUGUCAAAACUGUGGCAAGCCCUGCAAAGGCGAGGUGCUCCGGGUGCAGAACAAACACUUCCACAUCAAGUGCUUUGUCUGCAAAGGUAACACGUCAGUUAUGACCAACUCCAUUUAUAUGUGCUGUUAUUGUGUGGCAGUUUUCAGACAGUUCUUUAAUGGCUUUUACACUAUAGGUAUCUUGAAAGGUGCUUUGAAUGUACAUCUUCUAGAACAUGAAAACAAAACAAAUGUGAUGAAAAUGUCACAGUAUUUUGUUGUACAGCGUGG